CGAUCGCUUAGUAUCUUUACCAGCCUAUUUCUAUCCUCGACGCCCACCCUCCACCCUCGCUACCGUGAUUCUUUUUCAUAAGGGACGCGCGUAGCUUUCCCUCUCUCUCUUUCCCCCCUCUCUUCAUACAUACUAGAGAAUUUCAUAGAAAUCAUUCUAUUCUAAAGACUCACUCUCAAAAUAUGUAUAUUGAAAUAAUUUGCUCAAUAUAAUCGAAGGAUUAAAGGCUAUUUAACUUGUAUUUUAUCUUUUCUUUCCAUUAGCGAACGUGCGCAUGCUAGCCAUCAUCGACCUCGCUGCCCUUUUUACGCUCGAUUCCUUCCUUUUACGGAUUAAGACAAAGUACGAGGUCAAGGGUACGGUCUUGAAUGAUCUUGAAAGAAACAAUCCUUUUCUCUUGAAAAUACUUCCAUUGAGGAAGAAAAAACAAAGAAAAAAACGAAAAAGAUCGAUAUCGAUUUGACGAAAGAAAGAAGUAAUUUUUUGAUCUUUUAACAUUUUUAAAUUUCCUGCCUUUUGACGUUGGAGCGUUGAAAAAGAGCGACCUAUCAUAGGCAUAUACCUACAUAUAAGUAUGUAUACUCGUCGUUUUGUGUGCACCUUGCUCGAGACUGAGCAAACCCAGGCACCACUAUGUUUCUCUCCCUUUCUCUCUGCAGCUUCCGGCAGGUAUUCUAGAGUCAGGAAGCAUAAUACGAAUACAAUGGAAAGUAGACGGACUCGGUGAAGAUAGGAAUCGGUUUCCAUUCAAGUGGCAUCCAUCGUGGAUUCGCAAGGAAUUAAUUGAAGAAAAUAUUUUUAACGAAAUGGAUCAUCUCAUAAAUUUGCACGAACUUUAGCCAAAAUUUCAUUAUUAUUUUCAAUCGAAUGAAGAAAUAAAGAAAUAAAGAAACGAAACCGUGUUCUUUAUCAACAUAAAUAUCUUUGUGAGAAACCGUUUGAGAUAACAAGCAAUCGCCUUUUUUCCUAUCUGAUGACGAACCAACAAUGAGAAUAAAAUGAUCUAAUGCGAUUAAUCUAGUAGCGUAAGUGUUUUUCACAGCACACGAUAGAAGUACAUACACAUACAUAGAUGAAUAAACCAGACACUUACGACGGCACGCGCGACACGAGAACCACGAGACGAUGGUUUUGUGCGUUUGGAACUUGAGACGAGCUAUGAAGUUAAAUAAACAAAGUUUGCCAACAUCGAAUUGAGGAAAUAUAGGAAAAGUUUCUCAUGGUUGUGAAUCGAACCGACAAGAGAAUGAUAAAAUGAAGCGUGAGACUGUCUUCUGACGUUAAAUCUUUAUAAAAUACCUUUCUACUUUCGUAAAAAAAUGAGGAUGAUUCGUAUAAGAUAAGUGACUUGAUAUUUACGUCAAUGUUUAGAAUUAUUGAAUGGAAUAUAACUGAAAAGUAUGUGGGCACGUAGUACAGUAAAAAUAACUUAGAUAUUAUAUAAUAUUACAAGAAUGUUUUUGGAGAUUAAAGUAGAUAACUGCAGAGUCUUUUAAACGUAAGAUCAAGUUAUUUUUGCUUAAAGGUUUACAAAAAAGUUUUCUCUAAAAAAAAAAAAAUAAAGAAAUAUUGAAUUCGGAGAAAGAAUUCUUUUUAUGAUUUUCGAAGUCAGUAUUCGUGGUCGAUGUUAUUUAAGCGGCAACAACAAAGCGCAGUUCUGUACACGUGAAAGUACCGGUACGAAGAAGCGAUACGUUCAAUAAAAAGAUCCUUUUACCGAUCGCGAGCGGAACGUGCGAAAGCAAUGUAUGAGAAAUCCUCGCGUGGAGUCGACGAACGCAAUUUGAGGUCAACAAAAUAAUCGAGAGAGAGAAAGAGAAAGAGAAAGAUAGAUAGAGAGAGAGAGAGAGAGAGAGAGAGAGAGAGAGAGAGAGAGAGAGAGAGA
Molecule: long non-coding RNA, 1885 nt
Organism: Vespa crabro (European hornet)
Lineage: Eukaryota; Metazoa; Arthropoda; Insecta; Hymenoptera; Vespidae
Exons: 2
Source: RefSeq, a predicted model, not a curated record